UACGGAGGGUGCGAACGUUAAUCGGAAUUACUGGGCGUAAAGCGCACGUAGGCGGUUCGCUAAGUGGGAUGUGAAAGCCCUGGGCUCAACCCGGGAACUGCAUUUCAGACUGGCGGACUAGAGUACGGUAGAGGGCGGUGGAAUUCCCUGUGUAGCGGUGAAAUGCGUAGAUAUAGGGAGGAACAUCAGUGGCGAAGGCGGCCGCCUGGAUCGAUACUGACGCUGAGGUGCGAAAGCGUGGGGAGCAAACAGG
This 253-nucleotide ribosomal RNA is filed under the name uncultured bacterium. Its description in RNAcentral is "partial 16S ribosomal RNA". It matches the Rfam family "Bacterial small subunit ribosomal RNA", at positions 524 to 776 of the family's 1533-position model. The record is from RNAcentral.